AACACACAGUUUUGGUCCUAGACUUGUCUCUAUUUAUAGUCAAAAUUAUACAUGCAAGUAUCCGCCCCCCAGUGAGAAUGCCCAAGUACCUAGGAGCCGGCAUCAGGCACGACCAGUCAGCCCAUAACGCCUUGCUACGCCACACCCACACGGGUUCUCAGCAGUAAUAAAUAUUAUGCAAUGAGCAACAAAGCUCGACCUAGUUAUGAUUUAAAGGGCCGGUCAACCUCGUGCCAGCCACCGCGGUUAUACAAGGGGCCCAAAAUAGAUAAAGCCCGGCGUAAAGGGUGAUUAGAAAAUGCUCAAUACCAAAAUAAUAACCAUGUUCUAAUCGUAAAACAUAGAACAAAUGAAAACCUUAAUUUUGUAUUAUAGAAAUUUGACCCCACGAAAACUAAGAAACAAACUAGGAUUAGAUACCCUACUAUGCUUAGUCCUAAAUAAGAUAUAAAAACACAACUAUAUCCGCCAGAAAAUUACAAGCGAAAAGCUUAAAACCCAAAGGACUUGGCGGUGCUCCACACCUCCUUAGAGGAGCCUGUCCUAUAAUUGAUAAUCCACAAUAAACCUUGCCCUCCAUUGCCCCACAGCCUAUAUACCGCCGUCGUAAAUCCACCUUAUGAAAGACAAACAGUGGGUAUAAUAACUAACAAGCUAAUACGUCAGGUCAAGGUGUAGCUAAUAGGAGGGUAGAGAUGGGCUACAUUUUUUAACAUUAAAACAGACGGCAAAGUAUUAUGAAAUACUACUAAAAGGCGGAUUUAACAGUAAGAUUAAUAAGAGAGUUAAUCUUAAAACUGCCCUGGAGCGCGCACACACCGCCCGUCACCCUCAUCAAUUCCAUAACCCCAUUUAUAAUAUCUGAUACUAAAAAAGAUGAGGAAAGUCGUAACAUGGUAAGCAUACCGGAAGGUGCGCUUGGACCUACCAAAAAGUAGCUUAAACAAAGCACUCAGCUUACAAUUGAGUUACGCCAAGGCCUUUUUGCGCUAGGCCCUUAGCCCAAUAAUUAAUAAACAUAUCAAUAAACAAAAACAAACCAUUUGACAAAACUAGUAAAGGUGAUUAAAC
Molecule: non-coding RNA, 1071 nt
Filed under: Urostrophus gallardoi
Lineage: Eukaryota; Metazoa; Chordata; Lepidosauria; Squamata; Leiosauridae
Source: RNAcentral